GUCCAUGCCGUAAACGAUGAUAACUAGAUGUGUGAGGUAUUGACCCCUUACGUGUCGAAGCAAACGCGAUAAGUUAUCCGCCUGGGGAGUACGGUCGCAAGAUUAAAACUCAAAGGAAUUGACGGGGGCCCGCACAAGCGGUGGAGCAUGCGGUUUAAUUCGACGCAACGCGAAGAACCUUACCUAGGCUUGACAUGUAUAGAAGUCCUUGGAAACUUGGAUGUGCUCGCAAGAGAGCUAUAACACAGGUGCUGCAUGGCUGUCGU
Molecule: ribosomal RNA, 266 nt
Filed under: uncultured bacterium
Lineage: Bacteria
Description: partial 16S ribosomal RNA
Rfam family: Bacterial small subunit ribosomal RNA
Source: RNAcentral